Molecule: long non-coding RNA, 1035 nt
Organism: Marmota flaviventris (yellow-bellied marmot)
Lineage: Eukaryota; Metazoa; Chordata; Mammalia; Rodentia; Sciuridae
Source: RefSeq, a predicted model, not a curated record
UAAAAUUAAGCUCCUGGGCCUAGUAUCAUUCUGACGGGGCCGGUGAGCAGGCUAGCUGGCUGUCUGGCUGUGCAGCUGGGGAGAUGGGCUUCAGGUGGCAGGACAGGAGGCAUGUGCCCUGGGCUGGCCUUCAGGUCACAGGAGCGAGAGAGCUGCUGCAGGUCAUAGGAAGAGGGAUGGUGUGCCCCUCUGUUGGUGCCAUGGAGCCCAGGGGCACCCAUUCGGAGCGACUGUGCUUCUUCCCACAGUGGGAAGGUUCUCCCAAUGACUACUCCUGGAAGAGGUGGCAGGGGAAAGAAUGCCUCAGGAAAUGAAGUGACCCGCAGAUAAGUCCCGCAUGCGGCUCUGUUUCCACCCCCUGGGAAAGAUUCCGCAUUCUUUCAAGAAGUGCCUCCAGCAGGGAAUCAUUGGUCAUAGAGGGAAGGCCUGGUGCUCAAGCGCAGUUUCCACUUGGAGGAAAUGGGAACAGACUCCCCUUAUAAGCCAGCCUGCUCACUGCCUGCGCAGCAGACCCCGUUCAGAGCUGGGAUUCUUCUAGAAAUCCUUUUGAGUGGACAAGGAAACAUGGAUUCGCUAAGGCCAGGAUGUCUCCCCAGCGUCACCCGAGCAGGACAAGAGGUUUCCGCUCGCGGUAGUUGGUGGCUCGUGCGCUCCUCACCGAGCGCUUAUCAGGUGUCUCCUGUGGGCUCAGAGUUGUGCAAAGUCUUGAAAAAUGAAGUGCUAGCUCAUAGUCCUGAUUUCAGCAAGUCCGGUUGGUAGGCUGGCGGCUGAGGCCUCCUCUGGUGUGGUUCACUGCAAAGGACAAUAAUCUGCUUAGAAGCCAUAGACCCACCAGCCGUGCUACGACCCUCUUGGGGGAGUUCUCUGAAGAAGUCCAAAUGGCAAAUGCCUGGCUGAGAUGGCUGAACACACACCCUGGAGCCAGAUCACAUUCAGAGGAAUCACUGUUUUCCAAACCUGCUUUGGCUUCCUUCCAAUCUGAAGCCAGCUCUGACAUUCUGUCUUGCUGUUUCCUGUUGUGGGCGGAUUGAUUUA